UACGGAGGGGGCUAGCGUUGUUCGGAAUUACUGGGCGUAAAGCGCGCGUAGGCGGACCUGCAAGUCGGGGGUGAAAGCCCGAGGCUCAACCUCGGAACUGCCUUCGAUACUGCGGGUCUCGAGUCCGGGAGAGGUGAGUGGAAUUCCUAGUGUAGAGGUGAAAUUCGUAGAUAUUAGGAAGAACACCAGUGGCGAAGGCGGCGACCUGGUCCGAUACUGACGCUGAGGCGCGAAAGCGUGGGGAGCAAACAGG
RNAcentral lists this ribosomal RNA (253 nucleotides) under uncultured bacterium. Its description in RNAcentral is "partial 16S ribosomal RNA". It matches the Rfam family "Bacterial small subunit ribosomal RNA", at positions 524 to 776 of the family's 1533-position model. The record is from RNAcentral.